This 327-nucleotide small nuclear RNA is filed under the name Erinaceus europaeus (western European hedgehog). RNAcentral's name for it is "7SK RNA". It matches the Rfam family "7SK RNA". From Rfam's summary of the family: 7SK was discovered as an abundant small nuclear RNA in the mid-70s but a possible function has only recently been suggested. Two independent studies have found that 7SK RNA binds the CDK9/cyclin T complex (known as elongation factor P-TEFb). P-TEFb activates transcription by phosphorylating the C-terminal domain of RNA polymerase II. Lineage: Eukaryota; Metazoa; Chordata; Mammalia; Eulipotyphla; Erinaceidae. The record is from Rfam by way of RNAcentral.
GGAUGUGAGGGUGAUCUGGCUGUGACAUCUGUCACCCCAUUGACUGCCAGGGUUGAUUCGGCUGAUCUGGCUGGCUAGGUGGGUGCCCCCUUCCUCCCUCACUGCUCCAAGUGCGUCCCUCCCGAAGCUUCGCACUCGGUCGAAGAGGAUGGCAUUCCCCGAAUAGAGAAGGGAUCGGUCUUUGGUUGAGGGUAUAUGAGUAGCUGUGCUCCCCUGCUAGAACCUCCAAAGAAGCUCUAAAGAAUGGGCUUCAUGCCUUCACCACUCUGCCACUACAAACAGUGAGGGACAGAGAGAAGGAGAGACACCACUGCACUGCUUCACUGC